UGGCUCUCGCAUCGAUGAAGAACGCAGCGAAAUGCGAUAAGUAAUGUGAAUUGCAGAAUUCAGUGAAUCAUCGAAUCUUUGAACGCACCUUGCGCCCUCUGGUAUUCCGGAGGGCAUGCCUGUUUGAGUGUCAUGAAGACUUCAACCCCCCGGGUUUUUGCCCGGGAAGGUCGGAUCUGGGCGCCUGCCACGGUGUAAUACCCUUGGCUCGCCUGAAAUGUGUCAGUGGUGAUCAGGCCCUCGACGAGAGUAAUAAGUUUCUCUUGUGUUGGGUCGUAGGGAGCCGCUAAUAACCCCGCCGCGAGGCGACUUUUUGACUCUGACCUCAAAUCAGGUAGGACUACCCGCUGA
Molecule: unclassified non-coding RNA, 351 nt
Filed under: uncultured fungus
Lineage: Eukaryota; Fungi
Description: partial contains 5.8S ribosomal RNA and internal transcribed spacer 2
Rfam family: 5.8S ribosomal RNA (bases 1-133)
Source: RNAcentral